AGCGAACGCUGGCGGCAGGCUUAACACAUGCAAGUCGAGCGGGCGUAGCAAUACGUCAGCGGCAGACGGGUGAGUAACGCGUGGGAACGUACCUUUUGGUUCGGAACAACACAGGGAAACUUGUGCUAAUACCGGAUAAGCCCUUACGGGGAAAGAUUUAUCGCCGAAAGAUCGGCCCGCGUCUGAUUGCUAGUUGGUGUGGUAACGGCGCACCAAGGCGACGAUCAGUAGCUGGCUGAGAGGAUGAUCAGCCACAUUGGGGACUGAGACACGGCCCAAACUCCUACGGGAGGCAGCAGUAGGGAAUAUUGGACAAUGGGCGCAAGCCUGAUCCGGCCAUGCCGCGUGAGUGAUGAAGGCCCUAGGGUUGUAAGCUCUUUUGUGCGGGAAGAUAAUGACGGUACCGCAAGAAUAAGCCCCGGCUAACUUCGUGCCAGCCGCCGCAGUAAU
This 450-nucleotide ribosomal RNA is filed under the name uncultured bacterium. RNAcentral's name for it is "bacterial SSU rRNA". It matches the Rfam family "Bacterial small subunit ribosomal RNA", at positions 29 to 524 of the family's 1533-position model. The record is from RNAcentral.